GAAAUUAUUAAUUUUCCAAAUAUUUUUAUUUUAACUUGAUAUAUCUAAAAUAUAAUACAUUCAACAUGUAAUCAAUAAAAAUUGUCAGUGAGAUCGUUUAGAUUUUUGUAGAAAGUCUUCAAAAUCAGGUGUGUAGUUUAUAUUUAUAGCACAUCUCACUUCAGACUAACAUGCUUCAAGCACUCUGUAGUCACACAUGACUGGUGGCUACCAUGUUGGAUGGCACAGGUAGGGAAAUUGGUAUACAUAAAAGUGAUCAGACGAAGGUCAUAGGUCACAAGUCUGAUAUAAGUCCCUGUCACAGAUAAUCCAGUCUUGGGCAGUGCUAGUAGUAGGGUGUAUGAAUUAUCUAUUGCCAAAACAACACUGCCCGAGAAACAACCCUAAAACCUCAGUGACACACAGUGAUAACCAUUCAACAUUGCCCCCAAGUCUCCAGGGUGGUCCUAGGGCCACUAUGACCUGGCCCAGCACACUCCCUGUCUGGUCAAUCGGUCAGCCAGUGCAGGCUGGUCCAGAAUGGCCUUGACAGGAA
RNAcentral lists this long non-coding RNA (535 nucleotides) under Homo sapiens (human). RNAcentral describes it as "non-protein coding lnc-GPR31-5:1". The record is from RNAcentral. Lineage: Eukaryota; Metazoa; Chordata; Mammalia; Primates; Hominidae.